GCAAACUUGGUCAUUUAGAGGAAGUAAAAGUCGUAACAAGGUUUCCGUAGGUGAACCUGCGGAAGGAUCAUUCAAAAUAAAAGUGAAAUUCUAUAUGGCACUUUUAAAACAAUCCAUAUUCACCUUGUGUGCAAUGUUUAUAUAGGAAAAAAAAAAACAGUUGGUCUUUUUGGCCUUCCUUUUCUUUUCCUGUUUAACUUAAUUACUCUUAUUAUUUUUUUUAACAAGAAAUCGUCUGAAAAACUAUUAUUGAAUAAAAACUUAAUUCAAAAAUAUAACUUUCAACAACGGAUCUCUUGGCUCUCGCAUCGAUGAAGAACGCAGC
This 325-nucleotide unclassified non-coding RNA is filed under the name uncultured fungus. RNAcentral's name for it is "partial contains small subunit ribosomal RNA, internal transcribed spacer 1, and 5.8S ribosomal RNA". The stretch from base 1 to 73 matches the Rfam family "Eukaryotic small subunit ribosomal RNA", at positions 1759 to 1831 of the family's 1831-position model. The record is from RNAcentral. Lineage: Eukaryota; Fungi.